This is a non-coding RNA of Phrynosoma platyrhinos (Desert horned lizard), 72 nucleotides long. NCBI's taxonomy places the organism in Eukaryota, Metazoa, Chordata, Lepidosauria, Squamata, Phrynosomatidae. The record is from the annotation of a GenBank genome assembly.
GCCAGUGUGGCAUAGUGGUCUGAAUGUUGGAUUGUGAUUAUGGAGGCCAGGGUUCAGUUCCCUGCUCAGCCA